RNAcentral lists this ribosomal RNA (494 nucleotides) under uncultured bacterium. Its description in RNAcentral is "partial 16S ribosomal RNA". It matches the Rfam family "Bacterial small subunit ribosomal RNA", at positions 28 to 507 of the family's 1533-position model. The record is from RNAcentral.
GACGAACGCUGGCGGCGUGCUUAACACAUGCCAGUCGAACGGAAAGGCCUGCUUUCCCUUGUGGAUUGCGGGUACUCGAGUGGCGAACGGGUGAGUAACACGUGAGUGAUCUGCCCCCAACUUGGUUAUAAGCCUGGGAAACUGGGUCUAAUUCCCGAUAGGACUGCAGGGUGGUGCCUGUGGUGGAAAACGAUUUUCUAGUGGUUGGGGAUGAGCUCGCGGCCUAUCAGCUUGUUGGUGGGGUAAUGGCCUACCAAGGCGGCGACGGGUAGCCGGCCUGAGAGGGUGGACGGACACAUUGGGACUGAGAGACGGCCCAGACUCCUACGGGAGGCAGCAGUGGGGAAUAUUGCACAAUGGGCGGAAGCCUGAUGCAGCGACGCCGCGUGGGGGAUGACGGCAUUCGGGUUGUAAACUCCUUUCGACCGCGAGGAAGCCACCUGGUUGGAAGGGUGGUGACGGUAGUGGUAGAAGAAGCACCGGCUAACUACGUG